RNAcentral lists this long non-coding RNA (529 nucleotides) under Manihot esculenta (cassava). RNAcentral describes it as "long non-coding RNA (MESC_LNC005740)". Lineage: Eukaryota; Viridiplantae; Streptophyta; Magnoliopsida; Malpighiales; Euphorbiaceae. The record is from RNAcentral.
CUGCUGUUCCUUCAUCGUCCCCUACUGACAACAUUCUGGACCUGUCAAGCAUUUCCUCGGAGUCUCCGGCCUCCGCUGUUGCCGCACUUCUCCGGGAACGGAUGUUCGGCGGGAUAACAGAGGCUUCGGAUCCUCGUCUUCUGGCCCUGACUGGUCACUUGGCCAGUUCUACCAAGGAGCAGGUGUCCUUCCAAUCUCGCUCUCGUGAGGAGCUCGGAUCCACGAUUGGAGAAAUGCUGCUGAUGGUAAGUUAUUUUUUCACUUCUCUUUGAGUUUGCUUUGUUUCUUUUCUUGACAAUUGUUCUUCCGUACUAGGUGUUAGGCCUGAUUAUGGAGGUGGAUGCCCGUGAUCUCUCUCUCCGGGAGUCCGUGGACCGCCGGAUCGAGGAAGCGCGUCGCGAUGAGAACCUGACUGCCACCAGCGACGCGAGGGGCCACCUGGCAGCCGCCCGGGAGCAGAUCCAGUCUCUCCAGGUGGAGGUACAUUCUGCGCUGGAGGCCUCGAAAAGAGCUGAGGACAGAGCGGUUG